Molecule: ribosomal RNA, 96 nt
Filed under: Pseudocercospora wulffiae
Lineage: Eukaryota; Fungi; Ascomycota; Dothideomycetes; Mycosphaerellales; Mycosphaerellaceae
Description: partial 28S ribosomal RNA
Rfam family: Eukaryotic large subunit ribosomal RNA
Source: RNAcentral
GUUGACCUCGGAUCAGGUAGGGAUACCCGCUGAACUUAAGCAUAUCAAUAAGCGGAGGAAAAGAAACCAACAGGGAUUGCCCUAGUAACGGCGAGU